RNAcentral lists this unclassified non-coding RNA (373 nucleotides) under uncultured Gammaproteobacteria bacterium. Its description in RNAcentral is "contains 16S-23S intergenic spacer region". Lineage: Bacteria; Pseudomonadati; Pseudomonadota; Gammaproteobacteria. The record is from RNAcentral.
UCCGGAUUAACUCCGGCAGUCCCACUAGAGUGCCAAACUUAAUUGGGGCAACUAGUAGUAAGGGUUGCGCUCGUUGCGUCACUUAAGACAACAUCUCACGACACGAGCUGACGACAGCCAUGCAGCACCUGUGUCUGGGUUCCCGAAGGCACUCUACUAUCUCUAAUAGAUUCCCAGCAUGUCAAGAGCAGGUAAGGUUCUUCGCGUUGCAUCGAAUUAAUCCACAUCAUCCACCGCUUGUGCGGGUCCCCGUCAAUUCCUUUGAGUUUUAAUCUUGCGACCGUACUCCCCAGGCGGUCUACUUCUCGCGUUAGCUUCGCUACUUAGGUUUUACCCCCAACAGCAAGUAGACAUCGUUUAGGGCGUGGACUAC